Molecule: non-coding RNA, 26 nt
Filed under: Rattus norvegicus (Norway rat)
Lineage: Eukaryota; Metazoa; Chordata; Mammalia; Rodentia; Muridae
Source: RNAcentral
UAGAUUACUCAGAACCGCGCAUUGUU